GUAUGAGGGUGUUGGAAGCCCUGGAACUGGAGUUACAGACAGCUGUGAGAUGCCUCGUGGUUGCUAGGAAUUGAAUCCAGCUCCCCUGAACCACCAGCUCACACCCGACUCACACCUCCCAGUUCCCCUUUCCAGCCCUCACCUUCUUACAGAAACAGACCCACACUCGUGUACCCUGGAGCUCACCCCAGCAUGGACUGGGCAUGAUCUCAAGGAAGGACAAGCUCACAGUAGUCCCUCACUCAGACAGUACUGACUCAGUGCCCUCGAAUCAGAGAAGCAGACGGCUUCUCCCUCCUCCUUUCAGCCAACAAAACACCGCCACGAGAGGUGGUAGGUUCCGAGCCAGUGGGGUUCAGGGACACAAAGAAGCACCACAGCUGCUGCUUAGCACCCUCCAAACCACACCCCAACUGCACACCACACCACCACCGCAGCAGCCCACCAUGCCAUACUUCCCCUACUGGGCCCUGUUGGGCUAUAGAAAAAAAUGUCCUACAAAGAAACAAUAUAAGUAUUUUCUAUUGCUUCCCAGGACCGGAGCAAAGCCCUUACCUCGGAAGAGUGUCACCCUCAGAACACCCUCCUCCCCCAAAAAAUACACAAACCACUUGGCAUGGUUAAAAGCUGACAGGGCAUGGGAAGGGAUAUUCCACAAGGGUUGACACAGUUUUCAGGCUCACAACAGGAUACCUUUAAAAGAAGCCCACCUUCUACCAUGAGAAACGAAAGACAGAAAUAGACUCCACAGCAGCAAGGGAAGGGACUGGCAGGCGUGGGGGUUUUUUUUCUCUUCUUUUUUUAAAGAUUUGUUCUGAUCUAUGUUCUCCCACUAAUAGUUUAAGCAAACCCACAUUGUUCCCAAGGAGAUAUUCCUUACUAAAAGCUGGUUGCCACAGCUCUGCUCAGCACUACUCUGGAAUUCUAUUCUCCAAACUGGGAUGCCUCCUUUCACAGCAAGGGUCAGGCCAUCCUGGGAAAUCAGCAAGAGGACAAGUGUAGGUGUACCUCACACUGUGACCCACAGACUUAGGACUCUCUUCCUUAUGGUCCACCAAGUGAUCUCCUCAAACCCAAGGACCAGAGAGGGAUAAGGAUGCACCUAGGUCACACAGUAAGCCAGAGGCCAAGGAUACCAGCCCUGGCUUUCAAUGCUGAUUUUAUACAUUCACCUGCAUAACGUUUUUUGCUGGCUAUCCAUCACUCUUGGCAAGCAGACAGCCCCAGGAGGGUCUGCUUCAGACUGCCCUAUUCACUGGUGAUAUCUGCACAGUCUGGAAGGAAUAAGUACCUGCUAGGUGGGUGGAUGAGUGGGUCCAAGCCUGGACCAAUAGAUGUUGAAAGAAUAGGCUCUCAUUUCAGGAUGGGGGUGUACUUCUGUGAGCCACGCCCCUCUGCUAGAUGCUGGAGUAUCUCCCCUCCUCUCAGUGUGUCCCCAGCUGGUGGUCAGGUGGAUAUUCCGCAAGCUCACAGAGGUCCAAGAUCAGGCCGGGGACAGAGCUCUAGGAGCCCAGGCAGGGAAGUUCAAGUCCACUUUGAUUCUUGUGAUCUUUGGCUUCCUGGAUGUUAAGCACCACCUGGGGUCAAGGAAUGGUUCUUGGACCAGAAAGCUUCAAGCUAUACGGAGGAGUGGGGAGAAGAUGGAGAACAAAGGACUGGGUUCAGCUGAGAACCCCAGCCUACAAGGAGAGGUGAGCCAGAUCUGGUAAUGAUUCUAGCAUCAAACUCUUCUUUUGAGUUAGUCACAGAGUUCACAGAGCGCUAACGGAGCCACUGGAAGCCGCUUGAGCAGGAGAUCGGCUCAGCAUUCCCUCCUAGAUGGUACAGAGAGGUGCCCAGAGACAUGGCGGGUGGUCAGGAGGCUGGAUACCAGGUGCCAGCUGGUGAUAGAAUGAAGGUCCUUGAAAUCAUGACCAGCCUUCCAUUGGGGCUGAUCGGCCCUGGAGCAGGGGCAGAGUCCUCAGAACGGCCCUUUUCCAGCGCCCUUCACCCACUAGGCAUGACUGCACAGAUCCACAGGCUAGCCACACUUCUCUACCCCCUGCCAAGCAUCUAGCAACCUCAGCCUUCGGGCUUUCCAUAGGAAGGGGGUUGGUUGAUGGAACAUGGCAACUAGUAACAUUCCACUUCUACCCUGUUACGAGCACCAUGGAAACAGGACACUCAGAAUGUCCCAGCUAGGAGACCUAGCCUCAAAGCUCCAUCUACUAAAUGGAGAUACCAAGGCUGGGGUGGAAGGGUGGGGGAUGGAGAUGGGACAAGGUGAACAGACUAACCAACCAGUCCAGGAGACGGGUAGGCUCAGUUAGCAGAUGUCUCCUGUCCACUGGAUGCCCAACAAGUGUGGGCAGAAUGUCCUUCUCGCCCACCCUUCCCCCAUGCAUCUUAGUCCUGGGCUGACCAGAACAGUUCAUCAGUACCAGGCUCCAGGUUCUUCCCCAAGCUCUCUGGGAGUUGGGUCCUGGAUUGUGAUUCUCUCUCAAGCAGCCUGCCCUUGGGGAGGGGGAGGGUGGCGCUUCCUUCCCGCCCUGUUCCCAUUAACUGAGACUAAAUAACAUCAGGGAAACACUGAGGUGAGGGUCUGGGGUGUGGCUCAGUGGCACAGAACCUGCCUAACUGUAGAAAUCCUGGGUUCCAGCCCCAGAAAAGUCGGUUGCACAAAAUCUUGCCAGUGUCCUUAACCUACCUCCCAGAAGGGGAGUUUUACAUAAUCAGAAUGGUGGGCACAGCAGAGGCAGGGAAACUGAAUAAUAGGUAAUUUGAAGGCUGGAUCUCUUCCAAGGAGAAACACCUCACCAGAGCUCCCAGUCCCUGAGGUGGGUGGGUGGGGCUGGUUAGCUGAGUGAUCCCAAAGUCCACAGUCCCUGAACUCCACAGUCAAUGGACCACUCUUCCGCACACCUGCGACCUGUUCCCAAGUGCCUGCCCUCAGCAUAAAAGGCCUGGGAUUGUACAUUAACCUCCAGAUACUCAUCUUCCCCCACUCCCUAUGUUGGUCUCCCUCUCCCGAGGGACUGCAAGCCGCCCAGCACCAGACACUGGUUUAUUCAUUGCUGCCCUUCCGACCCCUGGGAUGGUGCCUGACAUACAGUAGGUGCUCAGUAAGCAUCUGCGGUGCAACCGGUGGUACACACCUGCAGUUUCAGCCACCUGGGAAGCUGAGGCAGGAGAAUUGAAUGGGUGAGAUCCUGUAUUUAAAAAGACACGUGUUCCUCCUGUCAGUGGUAAGGGCUCAGGCGGCUGUUCACCUUCAGGGCAAGUUGGAAGUCACUGAGUGAGGCGACACCCUCACUGAGCUGUAGUCUGGGUGGUCAGCUAGGACAGAAGAGGCCAGCGGGUCACAAGCCAAGGAUGUGCACAGUGGACCGGCGUGGGCUUGUAUGUUCUGCAGUGUGUUCUGCAGGGCAUUCUGCAGGGUGGCAGGUCAUAAUGGGCCAUUGUUUGUACAGACCAAGUGGCAGAACCUGGAACAGUACGGUGCUGUUUUUGUUAAAAACAAAACCAAACCACAGCUGGCUGGCUGGCUGGCUGGCUGGCUGGCUGGCUGACUGACCUGCUGAGCAAAUCCUUACACCCACAAGGAAAUGAAAACGGACCCAGAAAGUGAUAAAAGCAGACUGCGUUCCGACAGACACUCCAGGGACCACACAGCUAAAGUUGCAUGUGAGAGCAAUAGAUCGCCUUAAGGUCUUUAUUUAGUCAUUUUUAGCGUUGGGGAUAGAACCCAGGGCCUCACACUUGGCAAGUACACACUCGGUAGCUUAUACCCUCAACCUAGCCUUAUAUAUGGAUAUUUUGUAAUGAUCUAAAGGGGAUACAUUUUAGCUUAUAACAGUUCUGUAUCACUUGAGGUAUACAGUUCUUGUAACUAAACAUGAAUCAUUUGGUAGUUUGUCAAAUGAAAUGGUAUGUCCAUUCAAAAAUCUAGCGCACAAGGUCCGCAGGAGAUUCUCUCACAAUCCUACACCUACAGACGAAGCAUCUGCAGGACAGAUGGACAAGCUGUUUUAUGGUUAUGCCUCUUGCCCAGAGGGCACUCUAUAGUAUUCGAACACAGAAAGCAAUGACCUCCAGUUUACACUGCUUUCUAUCCCCCUCACACAUAAUCAAGAUAAAGUUUAAUUUAUAAAUUAGUCAUUCUGAGAGCAACGGCUCAUAAUAAAACAGAACUAUAACCCUAUGCUGUCAUAAAAUGUAUCCAGCAACACAUGAAACUGCUCAUUUCUGGAAUUUUCCAUUUAACAGUCAGUGCUACGGUUAGCCAUACAUAAUGCACACAUACAUACAGUACCAGGAUUACAAGGGUGAUUCACCAUGCCUGGCACAAAUCCACUGAUAUGAGGAGGUGACUUGGCAAAAUUCAUUCACAGUGACAGACAUCUCAAAGUGACUCUCUUAAGGGGCGGAGAGGGCUGGGGAUGUGGUUCAGUGGCAUAGUGUCUGACAAGCAAGGGUGAAGUCCUUAUCCCCUCCUCAAGCAGAAAAGCAAGGCGUGGAGGAGCUAAAGAGAAACCAUUGCAGAAAAGACAGCCGCUGUGUGAGCAGGAGAACGAAUGUGCUCAGUGACUCAUGGCACCUUAUCACUGAGACCUUUGGAAACUUUUGGAGAAUUAAACCUCUCACAAGUCAAGGGAGGGGGCUUUGGGAGAACCCAGCCCCAGGCUUUCGGUGCACAGGAUCAGUCAGGCGUAUGAACUCAGUAUGUGAGAGGCCAUGGACUGUCAGAGCAGUCACAAGUCUCAAGCAGGGCAGCCUGCGCUGAAUCCAGCCCCAGAUACUCCGCUGCUUUGCCUGUGCUGGGCUCCAUCCACCGUGAUUUGGGUUCAUUGCCAGGAAUCAAAAUAGAGCAUGCCCACUAGCCUGCUGCAGCCUGGGACUCAGCCAAAGCUGGAGCCCCAAGCAGGAAGCACCCAGGAGGCUGGUUCCCUAGCAGUGCCCGGCAUGUGGCUAGCGCAGAGGAUCAUGGGAAACCAUUGCCGGAUGUGGUCUUGGGGAGGAAAAUAGAAGCUGAGUGAUUGCAGCUCUAGCAAAAGGACUCCUGGGAUGCGCAGAACCACGAGGGAGCUCUGAAUGCACCGGAGGCGAGAAGAGAUGCAAUGGCUGAUGUGGCUUCUGGUGCUCCAAGUCUCAGUCUCCCUACAUAGUCUGUCACCUGAUCUACACCCCGAGUUUGGAAUGACUUGUAGUCAGCCACUGGAAGAGCCCUCUGAGUGCCAGGCACCGAGCAUCACUGCCCAGAAUCUGUGAGGUAGCCCAGCAUGUUGAUGUGUAUGCCUUUGUCCAUUUCACAGGUGAGAAAAAUGGGACUCAGAGAGGUUAAAAGCCUGAGAGGAAUCAGCCAGCUUCUAAGAAACAGAAAAUCACAAGCUGGUCCCCAGAUGAUAUGGUUCCUGCCACCCUUUAUACUGAAUUAUAUGAAAACUGAAGAAAAAAAGACCCCUGGGAGACAUCUCAUCCCUGGGAGAUGGUCAGGAUGGGACCUGGCUUGACCAGGAGGUUGUCCAGGGUCAGAGAACGCCCUCAGUUCUGGAGACGUGGCUCAUCAGGUAAGAGUGCACGUCACUGUUGUAGAACGCCAGAGUGUGGGGGACCCAUACUGAGGGACACACAGUUGCCGGUGACUCCAGCUCCAGGGGAUCUGACACCCUCCUCCCCAGCCCUCUGUGCACUUGGGCACAUGCUCACUCGAAUGUCUAUAUACCCUCACAGACACAUAAAAAAUGAAAACAAAUUUAGAAACCCCAACCACCCCCAAUCCCACAUGAGGACACAGCAUGUAGACCACAGUGGGCAUGUAGAAUACUUCUUCAACUGGGCAUGAUGGUCUGUAAUCCCAGCACCUAGAGCAAGAAGACUGUCAUGAGUGAGUUCUAAGCCAGCCUGAGGUAAAGUGUGAAGCCCUGUCCUACUAAAAGACCCUCCCCACACGCAUACCGUUUUUUCUUUAAAAAAAAAAAAAAGGUACUUUUUCCCCUGGACAAUGAAUUGGAACAGCCUGAGACAGACUCUAAGCUUCUGUAUCCUUGUUUGUAACGUGGGAUUAGUCAUUCCUACCCAGAACAUCUGAGAGUUAAAAUUCAUGGAGGGGCUGAGAUGUGGCUGGUUAGCAGAAUGCUUACCUAGCGUGCACAAAGCCCUGGGUCCAUCCCCAGCACCACUGAAACCCAAUGUGGUGAUGCAUGCUUAGGACAUUUGCACUGGAGAGGCAAAGGUGGAUGAGGAAUUCAAGAAAAAAAAAGUGAAGAGUGUCUAAUGAACCUUUAGACUAUGAAAAUACGGGGUGCUUCAAAGUAGGGAAUGAGAGAAGGGAUCACCACACCUGUGUCAUGGAUGAAGACUGCCUGUUCAUUUUUUAACUAUGAUUUUCAGGUCCUUUGCUCACCAAAGGAAGCCCAAUUCACUCAAAUGUUUUGAGAACUGUUUAAAUAAAUGCAAGAAAAAUUACUGAUAAAAAAAAAAGAGCAUCCUGGGCUAUAUAAUGAGUUUGAGGUCAGCCUGGGCUACAUGAGACUCAGUCAGUUAAUCAAUCAAUCAAUCAAUCAAUCAAUCAAAGAAUGAAAAGAUCCAGGGCCACUCUGUUAGCAGGCCAGGCUCUCACCACAGGCAGGAAGCCAGCCAGAACCCUGGGCUACCUGUCUCUCUCUCUUUACUGGUGGGAUGGUCUUUGUAGGUAUGCCUUGAUCCCACAUUUGGCUUCAGGAAGAGAGACUAUCUUCCUUCCAUUAUCUGGGUAAGGUUUAACCCAAAUCCAAGUCAUGAGAGGCCUCCAAAGACCUCCUUGCAGCUUAGACUCAAGGCUACCAGCUUUUGCCCACAUUAUCAAGGCUCCACAAUUCAGUCGUCAGCUCAUGCCCCAAACAUAUGAUCAUGUCACCCAGCACAGGAAGAAACCCCUCCUCCAGCUACCUCCACCCUUCUCCCUCCCCAUCUCUGGGGAGCAACAGUUGUUUCUCUCAGAGUUUCCACAAGCUUCUCCACCCCUCAGACCAAUAACCCUCUGUGCCUGGCACAGGCCCUGCCCUUCUUGCCAGGGGCAGCUGCUACUGGGGGAGCUGCCUACCCACGCACUCUCUGGCACCAGGCACUGGUUUAGCAUAAACAGGAGUCCACAGACAGAGCCGACCUAGAGCUCCCUCGGAAAGUGUCCCAGCUGGGACAGUAGCAGAGCCAAGCAGAGGCACAUGUGGGUGCCCUGGGUGCUAGGGUUGGCUUCUUCUAACCUUGGCUGGUUGAUCUAAUCAGAACCACCCUCACAGGGAGGCCAAACGGCACCACCCCAGAUGGAGAGGUUGCAGGUGUGCUCAGGAGCUUGGGUGCAGCUCCAGCACAGAGUGUGAUUUUGGGUUUGGUGCCCAAAAUACAACUCAGGGCAGAACACAGAGGUCAUAGGGGCAUUCGGGAGUGUGUGUAGCACAGGGAGGGUGUGUUGUCCUAGGUCCGUCCCCUAGUUUAGGACUGAGAACAGCCCCUCUGUACGUUGCUCUUGGUGCCCCUGUGUGAUACUGAGCAUGGGGACUGAGCUGAGCCAAUAUUCUAACCUGCCCCUGCUUUGGGGGUGAUAGGGGGAUGGUGAGGAAGGUGGUACUCCCUAGAGGGAUUCCGGUAAAAGUUCAGGGUCAGGAUGGGAAGUGUAUCAUAAGCUGGAAGGUCAUGACAGCAGGGGACAGUGACAGGGGACACUGAGAGCAGGAGCGGUUGGGUUGGUUGAGUGUGUGUGUGAGAGUCAGUCCUGGUAAAUGCCAGUGGGCUGCAUUUAGGAAAGAAGGAAAGAAGCAGGAGAGACAGGGCUGAAGUCACCCCCCACCCCUUUUUAAUUAAAAUUAAAAAUUUGAAACAGUGUUUCUAAGUUGCUAAGGCUGACCUUGAACUUACUCAGUAGUUCAAGCAGAUCUUGAAUUUGGAGUAUUCCUGUUUCAGCCCUAGUAGCCAGGAUUCUAGGUGUGUACCACCAGGUAUGGCUUGCCCCCAUUUUUAUAGUA
This 7979-nucleotide small RNA is filed under the name Rattus norvegicus (Norway rat). RNAcentral describes it as "uncharacterized LOC102548902". Lineage: Eukaryota; Metazoa; Chordata; Mammalia; Rodentia; Muridae. The record is from RNAcentral.